This 577-nucleotide ribosomal RNA is filed under the name Kwoniella mangrovensis. Its description in RNAcentral is "eukaryotic LSU rRNA". It matches the Rfam family "Eukaryotic large subunit ribosomal RNA", at positions 89 to 652 of the family's 3401-position model. Lineage: Eukaryota; Fungi; Basidiomycota; Tremellomycetes; Tremellales; Cryptococcaceae. The record is from RNAcentral.
GCGAGUGAACGGGAAGAGCUCAAAUUUGAAAUCUUGGCGUCCUCAGGGCGUCCGAGUUGUAAUCUAUAGAAGCGUUUUCCGCGCCGGACCGUGUAUAAGUCUCCUGGAACGGAGUAUCAAAGAGGGUGACAAUCCCGUGCUUUACACGACGACCGGUGCUAUGUGAUACGUUCUCUACGAGUCGAGUUGUUUGGGAAUGCAGCUCAAAACGGGUGGUAAACUCCAUCUAAAGCUAAAUAUUGGUGGGAGACCGAUAGCGAACAAGUACCGUGAGGGAAAGAUGAAAAGCACUUUGGAAAGAGAGUUAAACAGUAUGUGAAAUUGUUGAAAGGGAAACGAUUGAAGUCAGUCGUGUCCAUUGGGUUCAGCCGGUCCUGCCGGUCUACUCCCUUUGGACGGGUCAACAUCAGUUCUGACCGGCGGAUAAAUGGCACGAGGAACGUGGCACCCUCCGGGGUGUGUUAUAGCCUCGCGUCGCAUACGCUGGUCGGGACUGAGGAACGCAGCUCGCCUUCAUGGCCGGGGUACGCCCACGUACGAGCUUAGGAUGUUGACAUAAUGGCUUUAAACGACCCGU